RNAcentral lists this ribosomal RNA (440 nucleotides) under uncultured bacterium. Its description in RNAcentral is "partial 16S ribosomal RNA". It matches the Rfam family "Bacterial small subunit ribosomal RNA", at positions 338 to 795 of the family's 1533-position model. The record is from RNAcentral.
CCUACGGGAGGCAGCAGUGGGGAAUAUUGCACAAUGGGGGAAACCCUGAUGCAGCGACGCCGCGUGAGUGAAGAAGUAUCUCGGUACGUAAAGCUCUAUCAGCAGGGAAGAAAAUGACGGUACCUGACUAAGAAGCCCCGGCUAACUACGUGCCAGCAGCCGCGGUAAUACGUAGGGGGCAAGCGUUAGCCGGAUUUACUGGGUGUAAAGGGAGCGUAGACGGCAGCGCAAGUCUGGAGUGAAAUGCCGGGGCCCAACCCCGGAACUGCACUGGAAACUGGGAAGCGGGAGUGCAGGAGAGGUAAGCGGAAUUCCUGGUGUAGCAGUGAAAUCCGUAGAUAUCUGGAGGAACAUCAGUGGCGAAGGCGACUAUCUGGCACAUAACUGACGCUGAGGAGCGAAAGCGUGGGUAGCAAACAGGAUUAGAUACCCGGGUAGUC